This 497-nucleotide ribosomal RNA is filed under the name uncultured bacterium. RNAcentral's name for it is "partial 16S ribosomal RNA". It matches the Rfam family "Bacterial small subunit ribosomal RNA", at positions 28 to 507 of the family's 1533-position model. The record is from RNAcentral.
GAUGAACGCUGGCGGCGUGCCUAAUACAUGCAAGUCGAGCGAACAGACGUGGUGCUUGCUCCUUUUACGUUAGCGGCGGACGGGUGAGUAACACGUAGGUAACCUACCUUUAAGACUGGGAUAACUUCUGGAAACCGGUGCUAAUACCGGAUAAUAUUUCUAACCGCAUGUUUCGAUAUUGAAAGAUGCCUUUGCUUUCCCUUAUAGAUAUCCCUGCGCGUUAUUAGCUGUUUGGUAAGUUAAGGCCUUACAAAGGCAAGGAUAAGUAGCCGACCUGCAAGGGUGAUCGGCCACACGGGAACUGAGACACGGUCCAGACUCCUACGGGAGGCAGCAGUAGGAAAUCUUGCGAAAGGAGCGAAGGCCUGACGGAGAAACGCCGCGUGAGUGAUGAAGGUCUUCGGAUCGUAAAACUCGGUGAUUAGGGAAGAACAAACGUGGAAGUAAAAGUGCACGACGUGACGGUACCUAAUCAGAAAGCCACGGCUAACUACGUG